Molecule: ribosomal RNA, 117 nt
Filed under: Saccharomyces cerevisiae (brewer's yeast)
Lineage: Eukaryota; Fungi; Ascomycota; Saccharomycetes; Saccharomycetales; Saccharomycetaceae
Source: RNAcentral
GGUUGCGGCCAUAUCUACCAGAAAGCACCGUUUCCCGUCCGAUCAACUGUAGUUAAGCUGGUAAGAGCCUGACCGAGUAGUGUAGUGGGUACUGAACAUGUCUGGACCCUGCCCUCA